CUACUUAUAAGGUGAAGCAUAGAGAUUGUGCUUUUAGCUGUAAAAAUGGGUCCAAGAACAUAAGCUAUUCAAAGAGGACUUCUUCCUGCUGUAACACAGACCGGUGUAAUGACCAAGAUGCUCCAGAUCCCUCUAAUGUCCCCAAUGGAAAGACAUGUUUCUCUUGUCAUGGGCAGAACUGCACAAACAUACUGAACUGUUCAGGGAGUGAGGACCACUGCUUCACAGGUCAAACAGGGAUUUUCGGAAACCAGUCAACUGUUUUAAAAGGCUGUGUCUCUAAAUCUUUUUGUGAUUCCUCAACAUCGGUUAGUAAUGAUACGGUCAUCAGAUGUUGUGAGGGGAACCUGUGUAACGAUGCUGCCACCACAAAUUUCACACUGAACACCAUGUAUAAUGGUAAUAACAGCGUCACCCCGAGCUCCAUGUAUAACGGUAAUAACGGUGUCACCACGAGCUCCACAUAUAACGAUCAUAACAGCGUCACCCCGAGCUCCACGUAUAACGGUAAUAACAGUGUUACCCAGAACAUCACGUAUAACGGUAAUAACAGUGUCACCCAGCACACCACAUAUAACAGUGCUAACAGUGUUAAGCCGAGCUCCACACAUAACGGUGCUCAGAGUGUCACCCAGAGCUUCCUGUUCCUCUGCUGUUCUCUGUUCUCCUACUUCCUGCUGCAUUGAAUGCAGCAGCUCUUCAAAUUCUACAUUGUUACACGCUGUGCAGAAUAUAUAGCUUGUAUUUCCUCUAAGCUAUAUUUGGUGUUCUGAUGUGACAUUUUUUAAAUUAAAAUACAGGGGUUGGACAAAAUAAUGUGAACACCCAUUAUUAUAGGGGUUAAUAUCAUUUGUGUAGGCUUUACAGUGAAAAAACAAACAUUGCAAUUAUCUUUUAUUUAAUUUUCUAGUUUGUAUGUCAGUGCCGUAUAAGUGGUUUUCAGUAGUUUUUAGUACAAGCCAUGUGUGAAAUGGGUGACUUGUCAGAUGUCCAAAAAGGCCAAAUCAUCAGAGCCCGUUUAACAAGAGCAUCUGUAACCUUGAAGGGUUAGUUCACCCAAAAAUGAAAAUUCUCUCAUUAAUUACUCAUCCUCAUGUCGUUCCAAACCUGUAAGACUUUCGUUCAUCUUCAGAACACAAAUGAAGAUCUUUUUGAUGAAAUCUUGAGAGAUUUCUCUUCCUCCAUACACAGCUACGCA
Molecule: long non-coding RNA, 1198 nt
Organism: Ctenopharyngodon idella (grass carp)
Lineage: Eukaryota; Metazoa; Chordata; Actinopteri; Cypriniformes; Xenocyprididae
Exons: 3
Source: RefSeq, a predicted model, not a curated record